This 335-nucleotide small RNA is filed under the name Histoplasma capsulatum var. duboisii H88. RNAcentral describes it as "Histoplasma capsulatum H88 hypothetical RNA". Lineage: Eukaryota; Fungi; Ascomycota; Eurotiomycetes; Onygenales; Ajellomycetaceae. The record is from RNAcentral.
CAUACCUUCGGGUGCGCAAGUUCGAAUCUUGUCCGUGUCGAAUUUUUUUUUUUCCCCUCACCUUCUCUUCCCCACAGGAUAUGCUUAUAUUGAACUGAGACAAUUUAUUUUUGAAGUCUAUUCUCUCUCUGUAUGAUAUGAUGUACAGUACAAUGUUAGCAUUAAAACUUUGUAGUGUGCUACUUACUACUACUACUACUACUACUACUCUUGAGCGCAGGUAACAAGCAAAUGACACUAUGGUAGUGAGGUACCACACUUUCUAUUGGAAAUUUUCAUCGUCAUCCUCACAUAGGAGUAACCUCCAAAAGGCAGAACCCAUGGAAAACAAAGAC